UCCAGUGAUGGCACAUCUUUGAGACCUGAGUUUACUUAGUUGAUGAACAUCAUAAGCAUAAUCCUUGAGGGC
Non-coding RNA from Triticum aestivum (bread wheat), 72 nucleotides. Lineage: Eukaryota; Viridiplantae; Streptophyta; Magnoliopsida; Poales; Poaceae. The record is from Rfam.